AGUGAACGCUGGCGGUAGGCCUAACACAUGCAAGUCGAACGGCAGCACAGUAAGAGCUUGCUCUUACGGGUGGCGAGUGGCGGACGGGUGAGGAAUACAUCGGAAUCUACUUUUUCGUGGGGGAUAACGUAGGGAAACUUACGCUAAUACCGCAUACGGCCUACGGGUGAAAGCAGGGGAUCUUCGGACCUUGCGCGAUUGAAUGAGCCGAUGUCGGAUUAGCUAGUUGGCGGGGUAAAGGCCCACCAAGGCGACGAUCCGUAGCUGGUCUGAGAGGAUGAUCAGCCACACUGGAACUGAGACACGGUCCAGACUCCUACGGGAGGCAGCAGUGGGGAAUAAUGGACAAUGGGCGCAAGCCUGAUCCAGCCAUACCGCGUGGGUGAAGAAGGCCUUCGGGUUGUAAAGCCCUUUUGUUGGGAAAGAAAAGCAGCAGGUUAAUACCCCGCUGUUCUGACGGUACCCAAAGAAUAAGCACCGGCUAACUUCGUG
This 492-nucleotide ribosomal RNA is filed under the name uncultured bacterium. RNAcentral describes it as "partial 16S ribosomal RNA". It matches the Rfam family "Bacterial small subunit ribosomal RNA", at positions 29 to 507 of the family's 1533-position model. The record is from RNAcentral.